Long non-coding RNA from Hemicordylus capensis (graceful crag lizard), 1923 nucleotides. RefSeq lists it as uncharacterized. Lineage: Eukaryota; Metazoa; Chordata; Lepidosauria; Squamata; Cordylidae. The record is from RefSeq and is a predicted model, not a curated record. The transcript has 4 exons.
CGGGCGGGAAAAGAUGAGGUUUCAAAUUUGAAUUGGAGGCGGAACCAGCUCAGGGGGAGGUUUUGCGCGGGGAUUGUAUUAGAAAGACUAUGUAUCUCGACUCUCGUCUCGAGCAAAGGUGCGCCUAGGUAAUUUUGCAGCCUGGCUCUGGACCUAAAGGCCCUUGGAGGCACCGCUCCCCUGCAAAUUAAGCAUCAUUAUGCUCUCCGGGCAACCACACAGCUCAGGACAGACUAAAAAGGAUUUAGGGGCCCCCAAAGGAUGUGGAGACCCUGGACUUCGGCCUCAAAGGCCAGGGGUAAGAGCACCUCUGCUCUCGAGCAUUCUUUGAAAAAUCGAAGUCGACUGGCGACUUCUCGACACCUCGCCCGCCCCCGAAAGCCAGCCACUUAAGGUGUAUGCCCGCGAUCACACUUCCACGCUCCGUAUCAGCUUAGAGCAGUUAUUGCCGGCACCACCAACAACAACGCGUAGCAGAAUCCCCACUUCACACCUACGCUUGGAAUCUUCAAUAUGUGCCAUGUUGCAGUUCAGCGGUGGCGCGGUACUGCUAAAAGCGCUCCUACCCACCCAGAAAGAACUUGACUAUGGAGCGUCAAUACACAUCUGGGAAUUCUCACACGACUGUAGUAGAGGGAGAAAUCCUACAGAACAUGAAGGUGUAGUAGACGGAUCACUCUGGCAUACUUUGCCUUCAGAGUAGUCCGUCUAAUACUACAGUUCCCGUAGACAAAUACAAUUUCAGGCUUCAAAAUAUGCUGCUCAUUAGAAUACACCGCCCAUUCUCACCAAGGAUCCUUGCAUCGAAAUACAACUCCUUCCCAUUCACCACCUUUGCUAAAACCCAGGCAAGGUUCUACACUGGGUGAUGGCUGUAUUCAUUGACCCUACAAUAGGUUCUCCUGCAGUGGCUUUUGAAGCAGUAAGGUGGCACGGGAACUGGUGGUUGGCAGCUUCAAAUGACAUGCCCAUCAGGAAUCUCCGACUGCUGGAUGACCAGCUUCUUGGUGGUGGUGAUUGUGUGAAGCUGCCCAUCUACAUACCAUUUCUACUGGAGUUCAAAAGAAGGAAGAAAAAAUUGCACAGCCUGCCUACAAACCUCAGGAGAUACAGAGUUGGCACCAUGGAGGAAGCUGUCUUAUACCAAGUUAGACCAUCGGGUGCAGCCAGUUCAGUACGGUCUACUUCGCCAGGCAGGAUUUCUUCACAGGGAUUGAACUUGGACCUUCUGCGUGCUAAGCAGAUGUUCUACCACUAAAUUACAGUCCCAAUAUGCUGCUCAGAAUAUCAUCCUUACUCUUUCCACCCAGAGCUUCCUGCUCUCUCUGUCAUUAACGACCUGCAGCUGUAAACUCUCCCAUUUUGUCCCACUUGGACAUGCAACGUUUCAAUACUCCAAGUGUCCUUUCAGGCACAGUCCUUGCUAGCAAGUCACAGAACCACGGAGCUAAAAGGAGUUCUCUGACUGCCACCCCAAGAAGAUCCCAGGUUCAAUCCCUGCCAUCACACAUCCGCAGUCCAAUCAUUUUACUGCUUUUGAUUUUCCCAAAAUAUCUUUGCAAGUCCCUUCCCAGCUCCAGUUUCCUACCUUCCCACAACUCCGACAGUGGUGUCGUCGACGAAGAAAAGUGAAAGACACGUGGCAAGCCAUGCAGUGGCUGCAGGUGCUGUCUGGCACCCAGUCUGGUGGGACCAAAGCAUCUGAAAAGAGACAGAAUGAUAGCUAUGAAUUGUUGCAUACCUUCUAAAACCAGGCAGGUUUAUAAGUGUGUUGAGAACCCAAAUUGAGGUAAAGUAUGCAAAGCUGAUCUGACCACCAUGUUUAUAUGUUGCUUUUCUCUUAAAAUAGCCAAAGUGGCUUACCAUGUAAACCACUCAUAAGAUGAUAAAGGACACACAAUAAAGCAAUUUAAGCAACAAAAA